This 1485-nucleotide ribosomal RNA is filed under the name bacterium UCT. RNAcentral's name for it is "bacterial SSU rRNA". It matches the Rfam family "Bacterial small subunit ribosomal RNA". The record is from RNAcentral.
AGAGUUUGAUCAUGGCUCAGGACGAACGCUGGCGGCGUGCUUAACACAUGCAAGUCGAACGGUAAGGCCCCUUCGGGGGUACACGAGUGGCGAACGGGUGAGUAACACGUGGGUGACCUGCCCUGUACUUCGGGAUAAGCCUGGGAAACUGGGUCUAAUACCGGAUAUGACCUUCCCCUGCAUGGGGGUUGGUGGAAAGCUUUUGCGGUACAGGAUGGGCCCGCGGCCUAUCAGCUUGUUGGUGGGGUAAUGGCCUACCAAGGCGACGACGGGUAGCCGGCCUGAGAGGGCGACCGGCCACACUGGGACUGAGACACGGCCCAGACUCCUACGGGAGGCAGCAGUGGGGAAUAUUGCACAAUGGGCGAAAGCCUGAUGCAGCGACGCCGCGUGAGGGAUGACGGCCUUCGGGUUGUAAACCUCUUUCAGUAGGGACGAAGCGCAAGUGACGGUACCUACAGAAGAAGCACCGGCCAACUACGUGCCAGCAGCCGCGGUAAUACGUAGGGUGCGAGCGUUGUCCGGAUUUACUGGGCGUAAAGAGCUCGUAGGCGGUUUGUCACGUCGUCUGUGAAAACCCGAGGCUUAACCUCGGGCCUGCAGGCGAUACGGGCAGACUUGAGUACUGUAGGGGAGACUGGAAUUCCUGGUGUAGCGGUGGAAUGCGCAGAUAUCAGGAGGAACACCGGUGGCGAAGGCGGGUCUCUGGGCAGUAACUGACGAUGAGGAGCGAAAGCGUGGGUAGCGAACAGGAUUAGAUACCCUGGUAGUCCACGCCGUAAACGGUGGGUACUAGGUGUGGGUUUCCUUCCACGGGAUCCGUGCCGUAGCUAACGCAUUAAGUACCCCGCCUGGGGAGUACGGCCGCAAGGCUAAAACUCAAAGGAAUUGACGGGGGCCCGCACAAGCGGCGGAGCAUGUGGAUUAAUUCGAUGCAACGCGAAGAACCUUACCUGGGUUUGACAUAUAGAGGAUCGCCGGAGAGAUUCGGUUUGCCUUGUGCCUUCUAUACAGGUGGUGCAUGGCCGUCGUCAGCUCGUGUCGUGAGAUGUUGGGUUAAGUCCCGCAACGAGCGCAACCCUUGUCUCAUGUUGCCAGCACGUAAUGGUGGGGACUCGUGAGAGACUGCCGGGGUCAACUCGGAGGAAGGUGGGGAUGACGUCAAGUCAUCAUGCCCCUUAUGUCCAGGGCUUCACACAUGCUACAAUGGCGCGUACAGAGGGCUGCGAUACCGCGAGGUGGAGCGAAUCCCUUAAAGCGCGUCUCAGUUCGGAUUGGGGUCUGCAACUCGACCCCAUGAAGUCGGAGUCGCUAGUAAUCGCAGAUCAGCAACGCUGCGGUGAAUAUGUUCCCGGGCCUUGUACACACCGCCCGUCACGUCAUGAAAGUCGGUAACACCCGAAGCCGGUGGCCUAACCCCUUGUGGGAGGGAGCUGUCGAAGGUGGGAUUGGCGAUUGGGACGAAGUCGUAACAAGGUAGCCGUA